Molecule: ribosomal RNA, 432 nt
Filed under: uncultured bacterium
Lineage: Bacteria
Description: partial 16S ribosomal RNA
Rfam family: Bacterial small subunit ribosomal RNA
Source: RNAcentral
AACGAACGCUGGCGGCAUGCCUAACACAUGCAAGUCGAACGAGACCUUCGGGUCUAGUGGCGCACGGGUGCGUAACGCGUGGGAACCUGCCCUUAGGUUCGGAAUAACUCCCCGAAAGGGGUGCUAAUACCGGAUAAUGUCUUCGGACCAAAGAUUUAUCGCCUUUGGAUGGGCCCGCGUUGGAUUAGCUAGUUGGUAGGGUAAAAGCCUACCAAGGCGACGAUCCAUAGCUGGUCUGAGAGGAUGAUCAGCCACACUGGGACUGAGACACGGCCCAGACUCCUACGGGAGGCAGCAGUGGGGAAUAUGGGACAAUGGGCGAAAGCCUGAUCCAGCACGGCCGCGUGAGUGAUGAAGGCCUUAGGGUUGUAAAGCUCUUUUACCCGGGAUGAUAAUGACAGUACCGGGAGAAUAAGCUCCGGCUAACUCCGU